GAUGAACGCUGGCGGCGUGCCUAACACAUGCAAGUCGAGCGAACAGACGAGGAGCUUGCUCCUCUGACGUUAGCGGCGGACGGGUGAGUAACACGUGGAUAACCUACCUAUAAGACUGGGAUAACUUCGGGAAACCGGAGCUAAUACCGGAUAAUAUAUUGAACCGCAUGUUUCAAUAGUGAAAGACGGUUUUGCUGUCACUUAUAGAUGGAUCCGCGCCGCAUUAGCUAGUUGGUAAGGUAACGGCUUACCAAGGCAACGAUGCGUAGCCGACCUGAGAGGGUGAUCGGCCACACUGGAACUGAGACACGGUCCAGACUCCUACGGGAGGCAGCAGUAGGGAAGCUUCCGCGAUGGGCGAAAGCCUGACGGAGCAACGCCGCGUGAGUGAUGAAGGUCUUCGGAUCGUAAAACUCUGUUAGUAGGGAAGAACAAAUGUGUAAGUAACUAUGCACGUCUUGACGGUACCUAAUCAGAAAGCCACGGCUAACUACGUG
This 497-nucleotide ribosomal RNA is filed under the name uncultured bacterium. RNAcentral describes it as "partial 16S ribosomal RNA". It matches the Rfam family "Bacterial small subunit ribosomal RNA", at positions 28 to 507 of the family's 1533-position model. The record is from RNAcentral.